RNAcentral lists this transfer RNA (78 nucleotides) under bacterium. RNAcentral's name for it is "tRNA-Pro". It matches the Rfam family "tRNA". From Rfam's summary of the family: Transfer RNA (tRNA) molecules are approximately 80 nucleotides in length. Their secondary structure includes four short double-helical elements and three loops (D, anti-codon, and T loops). The record is from RNAcentral. RNAcentral also lists the same sequence under 1 other name.
CGGGGAGUAGCGCAGCCCGGUUAGCGCGCAUCGUUCGGGACGAUGAGGCCGGAGGUUCGAAUCCUCUCUCCCCGACCU